This 360-nucleotide ribosomal RNA is filed under the name uncultured bacterium. RNAcentral describes it as "bacterial SSU rRNA". It matches the Rfam family "Bacterial small subunit ribosomal RNA", at positions 29 to 416 of the family's 1533-position model. The record is from RNAcentral.
AGCGAACGCUGGCGGCAGGCUUAACACAUGCAAGUCGAGCGGGCACUUCGGUGUCAGCGGCAGACGGGUGAGUAACACGUGGGAACGUGCCCUUCGGUUCGGAAUAACUCAGGGAAACUUGAGCUAAUACCGGAUACGCCCUUUUGGGGUAAGGUUACUGCCGAAGGAUCGCCCGCGUCUGAUUAGCUAGUUGGUGGGGUAAGUGGCCUACCAAGGCGACGAUCAGUAGCUGGUCUGAGAGGAUGAUCAGCCACACUGGGACUGAGACACGGCCCAGACUCCUACGGGAGGCAGCAGUGGGGAAUAUUGGACAAUGGGCGGCAAGCCUGAUCCAGCCAUGCCGCGUGAGUGAUGAAGGCC